Molecule: non-coding RNA, 21 nt
Organism: Caenorhabditis elegans
Lineage: Eukaryota; Metazoa; Nematoda; Chromadorea; Rhabditida; Rhabditidae
Source: Ensembl
UGGAGAUUCCCAAUUAAAAAA